UACGGGGGGAGCAAGCGUUGUUCGGAUUUACUGGGCGUAAAGGGCGGGUAGGCGGCCAGCACAAGUCAGUUGUGAAAUCUCCGAGCUUAACUCGGAAAGGUCAACUGAUACUGUGCGACUAGAGUGCGGAAGGGGCAACUGGAAUUCUCGGUGUAGCGGUGAAAUGCGUAGAUAUCGAGAGGAACACCUGCGGCGAAGGCGGGUUGCUGGGCCGACACUGACGCUGAUGCGCGAAAGCCAGGGGAGCGAACGGG
Molecule: ribosomal RNA, 254 nt
Filed under: uncultured bacterium
Lineage: Bacteria
Description: partial 16S ribosomal RNA
Rfam family: Bacterial small subunit ribosomal RNA
Source: RNAcentral